This 253-nucleotide ribosomal RNA is filed under the name uncultured bacterium. RNAcentral's name for it is "partial 16S ribosomal RNA". It matches the Rfam family "Bacterial small subunit ribosomal RNA", at positions 524 to 776 of the family's 1533-position model. The record is from RNAcentral.
UACGGAGGGUGCGAGCGUUAAUCGGAAUUACUGGGCGUAAAGCGCGCGUAGGCGGUUUGUUAAGUCAGCUGUGAAAGCCCCGGGCUCAACCUGGGAACUGCAGUUGAUACUGUCCGACUAGAGUACGAGAGAGGGAGGUAGAAUUCCAUGUGUAGCGGUGAAAUGCGUAGAUAUAUGGAGGAAUACCAGUGGCGGAGGCGGCCUCCUGGCUCGAUACUGACGCUGAGGUGCGAAAGCGUGGGGAUCAAACAGG